GUGGGGAAUUUUGCGCAAUGGGCGAAAGCCUGACGCAGCAACGCCGCGUGGAGGAUGAAGGUUCUCUGAAUCGUAAACUCCUGUCGGCCGGGACGAAUGGACGGGAUGCUAAUCAGUUCCGUCUUGACUGUACCGGCAAAGGAAGCCCCGGCUAACUCCGUGCCAGCAGCCGCGGUAAUACGGAGGGGGCAAGCGUUACUCGGAAUUAUUGGGCGUAAAGGGCGCGUAGGCGGUCCCGCACGUCGGAGGUGAAAUCCCCGGGCUCAACCCGGGAGCUGCCUCCGAUACGGCGGGGCUUGAGUCCGGGAGAGGGGAGCAGAAUUCCCAGUGUAGCGGUGAAAUGCGUAGAUAUUGGGAGGAAUACCGGUGGCGAAGGCGGCUCCCUGGACCGGUACUGACGCUGAGGCGCGAAAGCGUGGGUAGCAAACAGGAUUAGAAACCCCAGUAGUCC
RNAcentral lists this ribosomal RNA (451 nucleotides) under uncultured bacterium. RNAcentral's name for it is "bacterial SSU rRNA". It matches the Rfam family "Bacterial small subunit ribosomal RNA", at positions 354 to 796 of the family's 1533-position model. The record is from RNAcentral.